UUUUUGUAUAUCCCUUAUAUCCAGAAUCGAUUAUACAUAACUAUUUUUAUAUACAGAAAAAUACCUAAUCUGAAAAAUCGAUCGAUCAUACAGAUUUUGAUAAUUGAUUUUGUAUAUCUCCGUUCUCAAAGAGGAGUGUUUUUCUAGUAUAUCACGAUCAUAUUUCUUUAUUUUUUAACACAGAUUUUGAAAAAAUUUACUUCUUGGCUCUUGCAAAAAGAAAGUUAAGAUGAAUCAACAUCAUUUACAAAAUAUUCCCUUGUCAUCAAUCGUUUAAUGAAUCCAAAUUAUACGAAGAAUGUUUUUGGUACAAUCUUGAUUUUUUAUAAAUGCUUGAUUUUUUACUAACAUUUUGGAUAUCAACAUAACUUUGAUGUACUGUCUUGCUUGACCAGGUCAAAGACAUUACAGAUCUAGGUAUACGGAACGGAUAGACAGCUUAGAGGGAUAGACAUCUUAGAGGUAUUUGUUUAUUUCUGUAUUUUAUCUUUCGAUCAUGGUCUGUAUUUUAUCGUUCUGUAUUUUAUUAGGGUUUUAUUUAUUUAUUGUCAUGAUUGAUUUUUUUUAUGGUUUGAUUUGUUGUUUUUAUCAUGGAUUCUUAGAUCAACCUUGUUUUCAUGAUUUGAUGUUAAUAAAUAUUCAAAAUAAAUGUUUAUUUAGAACUCUUGUUUUCAUGUUUAUAUUCCUUACAUUUUCAUAUUUAUUAUUUUUGUAUAAGUUUUUUGAAUCUUUAUUUUAAUACCUUUUUCAUUUAAAUAUUGAUUUUUAAAAUGUGUCUUUUUUGUAUGUUAGGAGAUAGACUAAAAUGGCUGAUCAAAUAGAGGGGCUUGACAAAUCAUAGUUGUUUGAAAGUUCAACCUCGUUUAAAUUUCAAAGUGGAUUGAAUAGUUUUUUAUAUUUUGCUGAAAUCUAUUCAAACCAUAAGAUGGAGCCUGGAUUAAAACUACCACGUCCUUGUUCAAAGUGUCACAAUGAUAGAUAUUAUGAUCGUAAGACCAUUAGUGAGCAUGUCUUACGCUUUAGUUUUGACGAUGCUUAUAGGUAUAAAACAUGGUAUAUGCAUGGAGAAUUGAUUCCAGGUUCGAGAGCAUAUAAAAAAGCAUCGAAACGCAAGAGACGUGAAAUAGUUUCUACUGCACCUCCUAUGAUAGUAGAAAAUGAGAUGACUCUUUUAGUAAAUGAAGCAAUAUAUGGUUGAUUCAACUAUUUAUCCUAAAGAUCACCCCGAACAAGGUAAAAGAUUUAAAGUAGAAUGGGAGCCA
This 1262-nucleotide long non-coding RNA is filed under the name Zostera marina. RNAcentral's name for it is "long non-coding RNA (ZMAR_LNC002428)". The record is from RNAcentral. Lineage: Eukaryota; Viridiplantae; Streptophyta; Magnoliopsida; Alismatales; Zosteraceae.